Non-coding RNA from Nicotiana sylvestris (wood tobacco), 72 nucleotides. NCBI's taxonomy places the organism in Eukaryota, Viridiplantae, Streptophyta, Magnoliopsida, Solanales, Solanaceae. The record is from Rfam.
GCCUCUGUAGUCCAACGAUUAGGAUAGUUGCCUUCCAAGCAAUAGACCCGGGUUGGACUCCAGGCAGAAGCA